UGGUAAUUCCAGCUCCAAUAGCGUAUACUAAAGUUGUUGCAGUUAAAAAGCUCGUAGUUGGAUUUCUGCGGGGACGGAGCGGCCGGUCGCAACUUGCGACUCGAGCUAGCGCUUUCCCCGCAUCCUGCCGCGAACCGUGCUACCAUUAGUUUGGUGGCGCUGGGGAUCGGCUCGAUUACUUUGAGAAAAAUAGAGUGUUCAAAGCAGGCCACACGCCUUGAAUAAGUUAGCAUGGAAUAAUGACUAAGGACUUCGGUUCUAUUUUGUUGGUGUUCGGGACUGAAGUAAUGAUUGAUAGGGACAGUUGGGGCGGUCUGUAUUCCAAAGCGAGAGGUGAAAUUCUUAGACCUUCGGAAGACAAACAGCUGCGAAAGCGUUCCGCAAGGAUGUUCCCUUUGAUCAAGAACGAAAGUUGGGGGAUCGAAGACGAUCAGAUACCGUCGUAGUCUCAACUAUAAACUAUACCAGCUAGGGAUCGGCCAACGUUUAAUUAAUCGACUUGGUCGGCACCUUAUGAGAAAUCAAAGCAUCUGGGUUCCGGGGGGAGUAUGGUCGCAAGGCUGAAACUUAAAGGAAUUGACGGAAGGGCACCACCAGCCGUGGAGCCUGUGGCUUAAUUUGACUCAACACGGGAAAACUUACCAGGUCCAGACAUAGGAAGGAUUGACAGAUUGAUAGCUCUUUCUUGAUUCUGUGGGUGGUGGUGCAUGGCCGUUUUUAGUUGGUGAAGUGAUUUGUCUGCUUAAUUGCGUUAACGAACGAGACCCCAGCCUGCUAAAUAGCGCGGCCGAGCUUUGCUCGGUGCGAGCUUCUUAGAGGGACCAUGAUGCGCGAUAGCACAAGGAAGUUUGGGGCAACAACAGGUCUGUGAUGCCCUUAGAUGUUCUGGGCCGCACACGGGCUACACUGGCGCCUGCAACGAGCAUAUCAGCUGGCCCGAGAGGGUCUUGGCUAAUCUUUUGAACCGGCGCCGUGCUUGGGAUUGACCUUUGCAAUUGUUGGUCAUGCAACGAGGAAUGCCUUGUAAACGCGAGUCAUCAGCUCGCAUUGAAUACGUCCCUGCCCUUUGUACACACCGCCCGUCGCUCCUACCGAUGAAUGUUCCGAUGAAAUUUUCGGAGAGCGACAGAGAACGGGGCUCCGCCUUGCAGAUCUGGAGGCUCAAAGUCACUUAAAUCUGAACAUUUCGAGGAAGGAGAAGUCGUAACAAGGUAGCCG
RNAcentral lists this ribosomal RNA (1218 nucleotides) under uncultured Rhizaria. RNAcentral's name for it is "SSU rRNA". It matches the Rfam family "Eukaryotic small subunit ribosomal RNA", at positions 577 to 1805 of the family's 1831-position model. The record is from RNAcentral.